GUCUACAUAGCUCAGCUGGAUAGAGCAUACGCCUUCUAAGCGUACGGUCGUAGGUUCGAAUCCUACUGUGGACACCA
Molecule: transfer RNA, 77 nt
Filed under: Bacilli bacterium
Lineage: Bacteria; Bacillati; Bacillota; Bacilli
Also listed under: 1 other name
Description: tRNA-Arg
Rfam family: tRNA
About the family: Transfer RNA (tRNA) molecules are approximately 80 nucleotides in length. Their secondary structure includes four short double-helical elements and three loops (D, anti-codon, and T loops). Further hydrogen bonds mediate the characteristic L-shaped molecular structure. tRNAs have two regions of fundamental functional importance: the anti-codon, which is responsible for specific mRNA codon recognition, and the 3' end, to which the tRNAs corresponding amino acid is attached (by aminoacyl-tRNA synthetases). tRNAs cope with the degeneracy of the genetic code in two manners: having more than one tRNA (with a specific anti-codon) for a particular amino acid; and 'wobble' base-pairing, i.e. permitting non-standard base-pairing at the 3rd anti-codon position.
Source: RNAcentral